Molecule: RNA transcript, 1814 nt
Organism: Alosa sapidissima (American shad)
Lineage: Eukaryota; Metazoa; Chordata; Actinopteri; Clupeiformes; Clupeidae
Gene name: mitochondrial ornithine transporter 1-like
Exons: 8
Source: RefSeq, a predicted model, not a curated record
UAUUGACAAAAUACACAUUAUACAACACAUCACUAGAGACAUACUUUGUACUUUGAAUACUUAAGUAUUUUUAACAAGAACUUGCAUACUUUCACUUAUGUACAAAUUUGACUUGCCAACUUUCACUUGCAGUGGAGUAAUUUUUGACUGGGAGAAUCUAUACUUUGACUUACUGUAAGUAAAGAAAUUGAGUACUUCGUCCACCUCUGCUCAUAACUGAUAAUCAUGGCCGGCUAAUUAUUGAACAAUAAUCUAUUGGGAUUGCGAAUGUUAUGGAAGGAGAUAACCCUCUUUGUCUGUUCUCAUGGAACCAGUCAUGAGUUGGCGCAAACCGGAUGAACUGAUAUUUACUGGGGACUUCAAUUAGCGACAAGUAGCCGUUUGUUUUUAAAAGUUAAUGAAAAGCGUUUACAAUUCUGCAACUUUCAAAUUGGUUGGUGUACUUGGAGUCCAAAUCUUGACCGGUGUCCAUCGUUUGCUGAAACGUUGCUGGCAGUAUGGUGAACAAAUGCGCAACUCAUCCAGUCAUUGACGCAUUCAUAAAUAUGACCGCGGGAGCUGCAGGUGGUGUUGCCUGUGUCUUGAGUGGACAGCCCUUUGACACAGUCAAAGUCAAAAUGCAAACCUUUCCCCACCUGUACCGAGGGUUCCUGGACUGUAGUCUGAGGACUUAUCGACAAGAGGGGCUCCUGGGUCUUUUUCAGGGGACUGGGCCAGCUCUGCUGGCCAACGUGGCUGAGAAUGCCGUGCUUUUCGCCUGCUACGGCACAUGCCAACAUAUCACCAGCGGACUAUUAGGACUAGACAAGGUCACUGAACUGAGUGACCUGCAGAAUGCUGUGGCCGGCUCAAUGGCAUCUGUGUUUUCCUCCUUGGUGCUCUGUCCCACAGAGCUGGUGAAGUGUCGUAUGCAAGCCCUCCAUGAGAUGAGGAAGGAGGGGAGGACCUCGCUGGCUUCGCGCGUGUCUGCCUAUGCUGUGAUGAAGAGUAUCCUUAAACAGGAAGGUCCUAUGGGCCUAUUUGAAGGGAUGACUAGCACCUGGCUAAGGGAAGUGCCUGGCUACUUCUUCUUCUUUGGUGGCUAUGAGAUCUGCAGGAGUUUUCUCACCAGGCCUGGACACUCAAAGGAUGAGAUGGAUGCCACUCGACUUGUGAUAAGCGGGGGUGUUGGUGGUGCUUUGUUUUGGCUGGCUGUGUACCCCAUCGACUCUGUCAAAUCCCGUAUCCAGGUGCUGUCAAUGUCAGGCAAGCAGGCGGGGUUCCUCGUGACACUGGCCAAGAUCAUACGCACUGAGGGUUUCGUGGCCCUGUACUCUGGUCUUACCCCCACCGUCUUACGAGCCUUCCCCUCAAAUGGAGCUCUUUUCCUGGCCUAUGAGCUGACCAAGCAGGCCCUGUCCAGGCAAAUCUCCAACACUUGAGGAGGCAUGGAUGGGGGCAAAGUCUGCAUUGAGACACACAGACACUUUUUACCUGUCCUCGGUCACUCUUUCCUAAAAUCUCCCCUCCUGUGCCAAUGAGAAAGGAUAGGAGGACCUCGGCCUACCGUAUGAAAAACAGCCACUCGCUCUUGGCAACAUCCCAAGAGAACACUACUUCAUUGUCCUCCAGUAGGACUUAUAGUUCUCCAAUCUCAUCCAUCCAUCCAUUCUCUCUGUGUGUUUAUAGUGUGGCAUAUUGGCAAACUAAGAAGUUAAGUACACUGCUCAAAAAAAUUAAGGGAACACUUACAGUUUUCCACAAUUGUUAAAGCACAUUUUUUGAAACCUUCCACCCUUUUCUCAAUUCUCAAACUACAUUCACAGAAUGUCGGA